GACGAACGCUGGCGGCGUGCUUAACACAUGCAAGUCGAACGAAGUGGCGAACGGGUGAGUAAUGCGUAAUCAACCUGCCCUUCAGAGGGGGACAACAGUUGGAAACGACUGCUAAUACCGCAUAAGGAAGGAGGGGAUUGAGUGUGAUUUGCUAGUUGGGGGGGUAACGGCCGACCCAGGCGAUGCUCAGUAGCCGGUCUGGGCGGAGGAACGGCCACAUUGGGAAUGGGACACGGCCCAGACUCCUACGGGAGGCAACAGUGGGGAAUCUUCCGAAAUUGACGAAAGUCUGACUGAGCAACGCCGCGUGAUUGAUGACGGCCUUCGGGUUGUAAAGCUCUGUUAAUCGGGACGCGGUACCGGAAUAGAAAGCCACGGCUAACUACGUGCCAGCAGCCGCGGUAAUAC
This 408-nucleotide ribosomal RNA is filed under the name uncultured bacterium. Its description in RNAcentral is "partial 16S ribosomal RNA". It matches the Rfam family "Bacterial small subunit ribosomal RNA", at positions 28 to 526 of the family's 1533-position model. The record is from RNAcentral.